RNAcentral lists this ribosomal RNA (368 nucleotides) under Quasipaa exilispinosa (Hong Kong spiny frog). RNAcentral's name for it is "partial 12S ribosomal RNA". It matches the Rfam family "Bacterial small subunit ribosomal RNA", at positions 875 to 1384 of the family's 1533-position model. Lineage: Eukaryota; Metazoa; Chordata; Amphibia; Anura; Dicroglossidae. The record is from RNAcentral.
AAAUAUUAAUUCACACCCACCAACGCCAGGGUAUUACAAGCCUUAGCUUAAAACCCAAAGGACUUGACGGUGUCCCAUCCACCUAGAGGAGCCUGUUCCAUAAUCGAUAAUCCCCGCUAUACCUAACCACCCCUCGCCAAUCAGUCUGUAUACCUCCGUCGUAAGCUUACCAUAUGAAUGCUUACAGUAAGUUUAAUGGCCACAAGCACCAAUACGUCAGGUCAAGGUGCAGCUUAUGAAGUGGAGGACAAUGGGCUACAAUUUCUAUACUAGAACAAACGAAAUGCUGCAUGAAACACAGCCACGAAGGCGGAUUUAGUAGUAAAAAGAAAAUAGUGUGUUCUUUUUAACUAGGCCCUGGGACGUGU